GAUGAACGCUGGCGGCGUGCUUAACACAUGCAAGUCGAACGGUGAAGCAGGAGCUUGCUCUUGUGGAUCAGUGGCGAACGGGUGAGUAACACGUGAGCAACCUGCCCCUGACUCUGGGAUAAGCGCUGGAAACGGCGUCUAAUACUGGAUAUGUGAUGUGACCGCAUGGUCUGCAUCUGGAAAGAAUUUCGGUUGGGGAUGGGCUCGCGGCCCAUCAGCUUGUUGGUGAGGUAAUGGCUCGCCAAGGCGUCGACGGGUAGCCGGCCUGAGAGGGUGACCGGCCACACUGGGACUGAGACACGGCCCAGACUCCUACGGGAGGCAGCAAUGGGGAAUAUUGCACAAUGGGCGGAAGCCUGAUGCAGCAACGCCGCGUGAGGGAUGACGGCCUUCGGGUUGUAAACCUCUUUUAGCAGGGAAGAAGCGAAAGUGACGGUACCUGCAGAAAAAGCACCGGCUAACUACGUGCCAGCCGCCGCCGUAA
RNAcentral lists this ribosomal RNA (484 nucleotides) under uncultured bacterium. Its description in RNAcentral is "partial 16S ribosomal RNA". It matches the Rfam family "Bacterial small subunit ribosomal RNA", at positions 28 to 523 of the family's 1533-position model. The record is from RNAcentral.